Molecule: ribosomal RNA, 253 nt
Filed under: uncultured bacterium
Lineage: Bacteria
Description: partial 16S ribosomal RNA
Rfam family: Bacterial small subunit ribosomal RNA
Source: RNAcentral
UACGUAGGCAGCGAGCGUUGUUCGGAGUUACUGGGCGUAAAGCGUGCGUAGGCGGUUUUCUAAGUCUGGUGUGAAAUCUCCCGGCUCAACUGGGAGGGUGCGCCGGAAACUGGAUGACUGGAGUGCCGGAGAGGUAAGCGGAAUUCCUGGUGUAGCGGUGAAAUGCGUAGAGAUCAGGAGGAACACCUGUGGUGUAGACAGCUUACUGGACGGUGACUGACGCUGAGGCACGAAAGCGUGGGUAGCAAACAGG